AGUGAGCGCUGGCGGUAGGCCUAACACAUGCAAGUCGAACGGCAGCACAGUAAGAGCUUGCUCUUACGGGUGGCGAGUGGCGGACGGGUGAGGAAUACAUCGGAAUCUACUUUUUCGUGGGGGAUAACGUAGGGAAACUUACGCUAAUACCGCAUACGACCUACGGGUGAAAGCAGGGGAUCUUCGGACCUUGCGCGAUUGAAUGAGCCGAUGUCGGAUUAGCUAGUUGGCGGGGUAAAGGCCCACCAAGGGGACGAUCCGUAGCCGGUCUGAGAGGAUGAUAGGCCACACGGGAGCUGGAACGCGGUCCAGACUCCUAAGGGAGGCAGCAGUGGGGAAUAUUAGACAAUGGGGGGAAACCUGGUCCAGCCAUACCGCUUGGGUGAAGAAGGCCUUCGGGUUGUAAAGCCCUUUUGUUGGGAAAGAAAAGCAGCAGGUUAAUACCCCGCUGUUCUGACGGUACCCAAAGAAUAAGCACCGGCUAACUUCGUG
This 492-nucleotide ribosomal RNA is filed under the name uncultured bacterium. Its description in RNAcentral is "partial 16S ribosomal RNA". It matches the Rfam family "Bacterial small subunit ribosomal RNA", at positions 29 to 507 of the family's 1533-position model. The record is from RNAcentral.